UACAGAGGAUGCAAGCGUUAUCCGGAAUGAUUGGGCGUAAAGCGUCUGUAGGUGGCUUUUUAAGUCCGCCGUCAAAUCCCAGGGCUCAACUCUGGACAGGCGGUGGAAACUACCAAGCUGGAGUACGGUAAGGGCAGAGGGAAUUUCCGGUGGAGCGGUGAAAUGCGUAGAGAUCGGAAGAACAUCGGUGGCGAAGGCGCUCUGCUGGACCAUAACUGACACUCAGGGACGAAAGCUAGGGGAGCGAAUGGG
This 252-nucleotide ribosomal RNA is filed under the name uncultured bacterium. Its description in RNAcentral is "partial 16S ribosomal RNA". It matches the Rfam family "Bacterial small subunit ribosomal RNA", at positions 524 to 776 of the family's 1533-position model. The record is from RNAcentral.